RNAcentral lists this ribosomal RNA (561 nucleotides) under Russula sp. RNAcentral's name for it is "SSU rRNA". It matches the Rfam family "Bacterial small subunit ribosomal RNA", at positions 347 to 963 of the family's 1533-position model. Lineage: Eukaryota; Fungi; Basidiomycota; Agaricomycetes; Russulales; Russulaceae. The record is from RNAcentral.
UUCAGCAGUCAAGAAUAUUAGUCAAUGCUCGAAAGAGUGAACUAGCUAACUGAAAUCAAUUUAUAAAAAUUGAUAACAUAAGGGAAAAUAAUGAUAUUACCUUAUUAUUAGUGUUGUCCAAAUCUGGUGCCAGAAGACUCGGUAAGGCCAGAGACACGAACGUUAAUCGUCUUAAUCAGGCGUAAAGGGUUUGUAGGCGGCUUUAAAUUUACUUAUAAAAAAGUAAAGAAAAAAAGCUAGAAUCAAAUAGAGGAUAAAUUAAAUAAUGCUUAGAGUAGGUCUGAUAUCCUUAGAUACUAAGUAGAAUAUUAAAGGCGAAAGCUUUUUUCCAUUAAUGAUUGACGCUCAGAAACGAAGGUGAGGAUAGGAAAUAGGAUUAGAUACCCAAAAUACCCCUCUCUGUCAACGAUGAAUGGUAGUUAUUAGUAAUAAAUUAUUAAUGGCAAUGUUAACACGAUAACCAUUCCGCCUUGUGAGUACAACUGCAAAGUUGAAAACAAAAAAAUUAGUCGGUUUCGGAGCAAACGAAGUGAAGCAUGUUAUUUAAUUCGAUAAUCCGCG